CCUACGGGAGGCAGCAGUGGGGAAUUUUGGACAAUGGGCGCAAGCCUGAUCCAGCAAUGCCGCGUGCAGGAAGAAGGCCUUCGGGUUGUAAACUGCUUUUGUCAGGGAAGAAAUGUUCUGGGCUAAUACCCCGGGAGAAUGACGGUACCUGAAGAAUAAGCACCG
Molecule: ribosomal RNA, 165 nt
Filed under: uncultured bacterium
Lineage: Bacteria
Description: partial 16S ribosomal RNA
Rfam family: Bacterial small subunit ribosomal RNA
Source: RNAcentral